GAACGAACCUUCGGGUUAGUGGCGGACGGGUGAGUAACGCGUGAGAAUCUGCCCUCAGGAGGGGGAUAACGGCUGGAAACGGCCGCUAAUACCCCAUAUGCCGAGAGGUGAAAUGAAUUUCGCCUGAGGAUGAGCUCGCGUCUGAUUAGCUAGUUGGUGGGGUAAGGGCCCACCAAGGCUUCGAUCAGUAGCUGGUCUGAGAGGAUGAUCAGCCACACUGGGACUGAGACACGGCCCAGACUCCUACGGGAGGCAGCAGUGGGGAAUUUUCCGCAAUGGGCGCAAGCCUGACGGAGCAACGCCGCGUGAGGGAUGAAGGCCUCUGGGCUGUAAACCUCUUUUAUCAAGGAAGAAGAUCUGACGGUACUUGAUGAAUAAGCCACGGCUAAUUCCGUGCCAGCAGCCGCGGUAAUACGGGAGUGGCAAGCGUUAUCCGGAAUUAUUGGGCGUAAAGCGUCCGCAGGCGGUCUUGUAAGUCUGUCGUUAAAGCGUGGAGCUUAACUCCAUUUCGGCGAUGGAAACUACAAGACUAGAGUGUGGUAGGGGCAGAGGGAAUUCCCGGUGUAGCGGUGAAAUGCGUAGAUAUCGGGAAGAACACCAGUGGCGAAGGCGCUCUGCUGGGCCAUAACUGACGCUCAUGGACGAAAGCCAGGGGAGCGAAAGGGAUUAGAUACCCCUGUAGUCCUGGCCGUAAACGAUGAACACUAGGUGUCGGGGGAAUCGACCCCCUCGGUGUCGUAGCCAACGCGUUAAGUGUUCCGCCUGGGGAGUACGCACGCAAGUGUGAAACUCAAAGGAAUUGACGGGGGCCCGCACAAGCGGUGGAGUAUGUGGUUUAAUUCGAUGCAACGCGAAGAACCUUACCAGGGUUUGACAUCCUGCGAAUCCCUUGGAAACGAGGGAGUGCCUUCGGGAGCGCAGAGACAGGUGGUGCAUGGCUGUCGUCAGCUCGUGUCGUGAGAUGUUGGGUUAAGUCCCGCAACGAGCGCAACCCACGUCUUUAGUUGCCAGCAUUUAGUUGGGCACUCUAGAGAGACCGCCGGUGAUAAACCGGAGGAAGGUGUGGAUGACGUCAAGUCAUCAUGCCCCUUACAUCCUGGGCUACACACGUACUACAAUGCUACGGACAAAGGGCAGCAAACUCGCGAGAGCUAGCAAAUCCCAUAAACCGUGGCUCAGUUCAGAUCGUAGGCUGCAACUCGCCUACGUGAAGGCGGAAUCGCUAGUAAUCGCAGGUCAGCAUACUGCGGUGAAUACGUUCCCGGGCCUUGUACACACCGCCCGUCACACCAUGGAAGUUGGCCACGCCCGAAGUCGUUACUCCAACCCUUGUGGAGGAGGACGCCGAAGGUGGGGCUGAUGACUGGGGUGAAGUCGU
This 1378-nucleotide ribosomal RNA is filed under the name Synechococcus sp. WAJ18. RNAcentral's name for it is "bacterial SSU rRNA". It matches the Rfam family "Bacterial small subunit ribosomal RNA". Lineage: Bacteria; Bacillati; Cyanobacteriota; Cyanophyceae; Synechococcales; Synechococcaceae. The record is from RNAcentral.